CGCACAGCCCCGUGUUGUCGUCCGACCCCCCCGACCCGACGGCAACGCGGGGCCCCUUA
RNAcentral lists this small RNA (59 nucleotides) under Mycolicibacterium fallax. RNAcentral's name for it is "Mycobacterium fallax F6 TB sRNA". It matches the Rfam family "F6 TB sRNA". Lineage: Bacteria; Bacillati; Actinomycetota; Actinomycetes; Mycobacteriales; Mycobacteriaceae. The record is from Rfam by way of RNAcentral.